Non-coding RNA from Monodelphis domestica (gray short-tailed opossum), 2199 nucleotides. Lineage: Eukaryota; Metazoa; Chordata; Mammalia; Didelphimorphia; Didelphidae. The record is from RefSeq and is a predicted model, not a curated record.
CUCUGGUCUGGGCACCUUCUCACCACUGGGGGCAGGCAGAGACAUGCAGGGUGAGGGGGUGGACCAGCCCAGAGGGAGGUUAACUACACCAUCACAGGGCAGUCUGACCCUUUGGUUUUAUAGUUGAGAAAAAUGGGGCCCUCAGAAGCACAGUGGGGCUCCCCAGGCACUUGAUUAAUGACUUCUGGGGAGAGGAGGGGCUCAAAAGUCACCCAAACCAAUUCCCCCCGUUUUACUGAGCAAGAAGCCGGGACAGAGGAAGGAAGAAAGACUCAGCCCGACCAUGCUCCAGCCAUCCUCGACUUAGAAAUGGCAAGGCUAGGAAGCUCUCUUUUGUGGGGAAGCCAAGAAGAGAAGAGAUAGGGGAGAUGAGCCCCUACAGAGCUCUGGACCCAGUUUUCUCCCCUGUAAGACCAGACGCUUGGGCCAGAUGUGAAAAUCAAGGUACCCAGAAAUGACUUGACCGUGACUUGACCGAAGUCACAAAGGUUGUGGCCUGGAUGAAGUGGCAUUUGAACCCAGGCACUAGGAAGCCAAAUCUGAUGCUCUAGAGAUAAUGUAUGUGGACUAUAAAGAGGAGAGCUGGACUCUGCGACUGAUCUCUCCCAAAGCCGUUAGGGAACAAAGAGGUCUCCCGUUUCCAGGGUUGGAGACACAGGAUGCUUCGAGUCUAGUCUCAUACCAGGAAUCUUCACAAGAACACAGCCAACAAGUAGCCAUCCAGCCACUGACUGAAGAACGGGGAGGACAUGGAGUUCAUCACUUUUCUAGACAAAAUCCAGGAUUCUGCCCCAGCAUCCCUGAGGCACAUUUGUAAUUCAAACAGAGAGGUGGCCAGGAGAGGGCACAUCUUGUCCAAAGUCACAGAACCUGAGCUGGAAAGCACCACCUGGGUCCAACCAGCCCUGAUCAGAAAACCUUUCUACAAGAUCUCCAAUAAGGGAUUAUCCAGUCUCUGCCUGAGGACCUCUGCUAAAGGCCACACUCUGGCCUAAGGGCUCAAUAAGACUCAACUUUCUAAAUCUGCAACCAAGCACAUCUCUAUACCAAAGGAGUGGUAGCCUGGGAACCACCACAAACAAGUGGGCCUAGAAGGACCAAGCUGGGGCUCUGAAGAAAGGAGGGCCCAAAGAUUACUGAGAACCCUGAAGAUACCCCAAGAACCCUGUUGGGAACCCUUGAGAGACACCAUCUAUACCAAGAGGUUAAGCAAGAAGAGUUACCUUGGCAUUCUAGAGGAGCAGAGAAAGUAACCUCAUAUAGGGCUUUCUGAAUUCAUCAAUACCUUUUUUCAGACCACUCCCUCCAUCCCCUUACAAAAAAAUCCCAACGCACACCUCUAAUUCUAGGCUGCUCUUCUGUAAACACCUCUACUCUCUUCUUGGGCACAGAGCCUUGGUAUCACCUUUCCCCUUUCCCUUUUUUUUUUUAAAUCCCAGAUUCUCCACUAUCCCCAUCUUACUCAGGGCCUUCUAUCACCCCACACAGAUUAAUUCAACAGCCUCUUCACAGAUCUCUGUCUCCAGCCUUCCUCCCUUCAACUCAUCCUUCCCAUGCUACUGCAUCAAUUACCUAAGACAACCAAUCAUGUCACUCUCCUGAGCUAAAUAUUUAGAAACAUUCAAGGCUCUCUACCUCCUCUCAUAAUUUUAUCCAUAUCCUACUCAUACUCUGAGGCCUGCAGCUCAGUAAUAUACAAUGGAAAAGAGGAGGAUUUGGAGUCAAAAGAUAUUGGUUUGCAUCCUGGCCCUGCUAAUUACUACCUGGACAAGUUGCUCAAUCUCUCUGACCCUAAUUUUUUUACAUGUUUGGAGUAGAUGGCCUCUAAGGUUCCUUCCAAGAUCUUUGAUCCAGUCAUCCUAAGAUAUUGUCCUUAGCCAUAACAACUUACAACCAUAGACUACCUUGUCUUGAUCUCCAAUUGUGUUACAAAGGUCCAUCUGAUUUCUCCAACCAAACUUUAAAUGAGAAGGAAGGACCAAAUCUUCUAUUGUCUCUCCAAAAAUAUCAAUCUCGGGGCUGAAUGCAUAGACUCCCUGGCCUAAGGUCAUCUGCCUUUUAAGAUGUUUGUACAUCUUAAAUGGAGAGAAUCAAGAGAAGAGAGACAGUCUAGUCAAGUGCAGGAAAAGCUCUUUGCAAAUAUGGAAGUUACUAUAUUUAGGGAAGACUAACUAAAGGAACUCAACUUCUCAACUCCAA